CUCCUCCAAAAGCAAGCACCCCAGCAGGACCUGUUGCUCCCAACACAUCCACCAACAGGGCAUGCUUCAAGUGUGGACAACCGGGACACUACGCCAACUACUGUCCCAACAGAGCUGCCUACACUACACCGGCUCCGAUGAAGCAAGGACAAGCCUCGGCAGGAAAGAGUCAGCCACUAUCUAUCAACCGGGGACAUGCCCAUCAUGCAAAAGUAGAGGUUGAACCAGGUGAUCUGGAAAUUCAAGAAGAAGAGCUAGUUGAAGAUGAAGUAGUCGGUGAAGAAGUCAACGAACAACAAGAAUAGAGAUAAACAUAAAUAUAGAUACAUAUAUAUAUAUAUUUUACUAUUUGUAAGACCUAAAUAUUAGUUUGGCCAG
RNAcentral lists this unclassified non-coding RNA (378 nucleotides) under Zea mays. RNAcentral describes it as "misc RNA Zm00001eb383820". The record is from RNAcentral. Lineage: Eukaryota; Viridiplantae; Streptophyta; Magnoliopsida; Poales; Poaceae.